UACGAAGGGGGCUAGCGUUGCUCGGAAUUACUGGGCGUAAAGCGCACGUAGGCGGCUUUCUAAGUCGGGGGUGAAAUCCUGGAGCUCAACUCCAGAACUGCCCUUCGAUACUGGAAGCUCGAGUCCGGGAGAGGUGAGUGGAACUGCGAGUGUAGAGGUGAAAUUCGUAGAUAUUCGCAAGAACACCAGUGGCGAAGGCGGCUCACUGGCCCGGUACUGACGCUGAGGUGCGAAAGCGUGGGGAGCAAACAGGG
Molecule: ribosomal RNA, 254 nt
Filed under: uncultured bacterium
Lineage: Bacteria
Description: partial 16S ribosomal RNA
Rfam family: Bacterial small subunit ribosomal RNA
Source: RNAcentral